GACGAACGCUGGCGGCGUGCUUAACACAUGCAAGUCGAACGGAAAGGCCCUGCUUUUGUGGGGUGCUCGAGUGGCGAACGGGUGAGUAACACGUGAGUAACCUGCCCUUGACUUUGGGAUAACUUCAGGAAACUGGGGCUAAUACCGGAUAGGAGCUCAUGCUGCAAGGUGGGGGUUGGAAAGUUUCGGCGGUUGGGGAUGGGCUCGCGGCUUAUCAGCUUGUUGGGGGGGUAGUGGCUUACCAAGGCUUUGACGGGUAGCCGGCCUGAGAGGGUGACCGGCCACAUUGGGACUGAGAUACGGCCCAGACUCCUACGGGAGGCAGCAGUGGGGAAUAUUGCAGAAUGGGCGGAAGCCUGAUGCAGCAACGCCGCGUGCGGGAUGACGGCCUUCGGGUUGUAAACCGCUUUCGCCUGUGACGAAGCGUGAGUGACGGUAAUGGGUAAAGAAGCACCGGCUAACUACGUG
RNAcentral lists this ribosomal RNA (468 nucleotides) under uncultured bacterium. RNAcentral describes it as "partial 16S ribosomal RNA". It matches the Rfam family "Bacterial small subunit ribosomal RNA", at positions 28 to 507 of the family's 1533-position model. The record is from RNAcentral.